Molecule: long non-coding RNA, 3291 nt
Organism: Pongo pygmaeus (Bornean orangutan)
Lineage: Eukaryota; Metazoa; Chordata; Mammalia; Primates; Hominidae
Exons: 7
Source: RefSeq, a predicted model, not a curated record
AUGAUUCUACCAACCUUGACACAAAUGCCCAGCUGCCCCCUGUUCAGUCCCACAGAGAAAAGCCUUGCAGGACAGGUUGAGUUUGUGGAUGGGCAUGGGGUAGAAGGUAUCAUCUCUUCUCUAUCAAUGACUUGGGUGAUACUUCUGGCAACAAAACAGACAGUUGUCGGCCUCUGUGUUUUCAUUUGUCCACCUGAAGAUUAGACAAGAGGCAGCAUGGGGUAGUGGAUAAAUCGUGGACCAGGAUUGAAGCGAAGAUCUGCUCAUCUGGGACACUCACCAGGUUGCCUAUGAGUGGACCAGAUGGAUAAAGCAGAGACCUUCACUUGAAGGGGUCCAGCAGAUCAGGUGACCACUUAAUGUCCCCUGAAAUGUCAAGAAAAAAAGAGUCCAGCCCAAAGGUUCAGCCUCUCCAUCAGAUGUCCAGGCAACCUGGAACAACUCUUGACGCAUGAUCUCAAACCAGACAAGCUACAUAAUCUGUGGGGCCUAAGGUUACAUUCCGUAGAAGCAGAUCCUGAGAAGAUGAUGAAGUGCCCAUGUCUGUUGAGAAAAUGCUCUCAGGAGAAGGGGGGAAGGUAAGCCAGGUGCAGCAGAGGACCGAGCAAGGUUGGGGUCUCAGCUGGACACUUCUUGGACCUGUUCCCACGGGAGCUCUGGAGCACGAACUGUACCACAGAAUUGUCUCACCUAGAGAUGCAGAACAGCAACCCAAGUCCCUUCUGGAAGCAGCCCUCUCCCUCCUGGCAGCUGACAGAAGUCUCUCUGGCCAGGCCGGCCUUUUGGCUGCUCUGCAUAUGGAAGUUCAAUUACUGUCAAUGGGAGGCCCAUCUGCAGGGGAGAAGUUUACUGCUGUUUUCAUGGCUCUGCAUGCUCGGAGAAAGAGGAAGGCCACAGGAAGGUGACAGCUGAGGCAGGGUAUAACAGCAGGUCCCCAGGGUGGGUCAUUCACUGGGCUGACAAUCCAGUUGAUGCUUGCUUGGGUUGGGGCUCUGUGCUAAUUUGGAUGCUGACAGCUUGGUGACAGCAGCAGAGGGAAAGUAAGCUGAGAAGCAGAGAGGGGGAACCUUGAAAUGACGCCCCUAAAUGAUGGUUGACUUGUUUGUGACAUCACACCCCUAAGGCAUAGCUCUUUCCCCUGGGAGGGAUGCUGAGUGGCAAGUAGGCAGGCUGGGUACAUUUCCUUUUGGGAUGUGGUAGCGACAGUGUCCUACAGAGUCAGACUGGUGGCUUUAACAUCACAGGGCUUUGUCCAGCUGGAUCCGGAUAUCCAUUUUUCUAGAUUCCAUUUUCUCUGCUUCUUUUUUUAUUCCAGUAGAUAUAGCAGGCUUUCUCCCUGUAGCCAUGCAGAAGAGAUACAACUCAGAGGUGAUUCCUCUCAAAGGACAUAUCAGAUUCUUGAAGAGAGUCUAACAGGUUUAAGUGGGUCAGAUGCCGUGACUCAACAGCUUCCCCUUGAUCCUUUAAUCUCACAUCUGAAGCAUAAGACCUAUCCAGGUUACUUGGGGCAGCACCACCAUUGUAACAUUAAGGCUUCUCUUUCAGAAGGUUGAAUAAUCCAUCUGCAGCACUAUUUUACAUUCUAGUUCAAUUCAAGACUCUGAAUAUGAUUUAUAAGUAUGAGUGAUUAUUUUCACAUCAACAAGGGUUAAGCCAGGGAAAUUCUGUCCUCUGGUAGGGAGCCUCAAUGACCAGACCACUGUAAAGCCCCAGGAAUGCCAAGAACUCUGAAGAAGAAAGAUUCACCUCUAAGUGAGUUGGAGGAGGCAAAGACAAAAAACAAAAAAUAAACAGUACAGGCCUUAGACUAAGGAGUGUGGGAAUGAGUUUCACCUCCAUUUCCAGCAACUGCCACACAUAGAGUCUCUUCCAAAGAUGCCGGUGGCCUCAAAGAAGAGACAGCUGCCUCCCCAGCCCCUCAUUCGUCACCUGCUUGCUGGCCUAGGACUGAUAAGAUAGAUCCAGAUCAAAUUACCUGGCAGCUGGGAGAGCAAGGAGAUAAGGAAAGGCAAGCUCAGGAGAAGUUCAGUAGAGUAGCAAAGAUCAAAUUGUGUAUUAAAUUUUCCAGGAACUAAAACAUUGCUCCCUCUGCAAACCCAGGGGAGGCACCUCCAAUCAGUAGCACUAAACAGGGUUCCCAGGAGAAAAGCAAUGCCUUCAGCUUCUACUAGGAAUUAAGAAAACAGAGUACUGAGACCAAUUUAUUAUCACGCAGUUGGAUGAUAGGAAAAUGAAAACAAAGCUUACAGGUGAACAUUAUAGAGGGGCUGAGUGGCCAAUGGCCAGAGAAACUUCAGGCAACAGAAAGAACGCUGGGCUGAGCAAAAGACUUGGAUUCUUGUUCUAGCUCCAUCUCUCUCCCUUUGAAAAUGCACUUGAAACCCUCUGGGCUAUUUAUUUAUUUAUUUAUUUAUUUAUAAAAUGGUGCGGUGAGGAUUUCUUCAAGCUAAGAUCUCCCUGGCUUGAAGCUCUUAAAAUUUCUUGUCACCACGGUCUUCCUAAGACGUUCCAUCUGAUGGUUUACUCUUUUGACUCUGCCAUUUUACUCAACUAAACCUCAAAAUUCUUGACUAUGGAAGCCUCCAGAGGUGUUGUUAAAGCUUUAACUCUUUCACUAGAAGCCAUAUGACUUGCUUUAUCCAAUGGGAGGUUAGUAGAUGUGACACAAACAAAUGCUUGAAAGAGUACUUGCAUGUUUCCAUUUACGUUUCUGUUCUUGCCUUCUGUCAUCACCAUGACAACAUGCCCAGCCUGGCUCCUGGAGGAUGGGACACACAACGUGGGAAUAGGCGAGUCACCAGAGUCAUCUCAGCCAAGAUCAACCAAUAGUCAAUUACCAGGAACGUGAGAGAAUUCUGAGACCAGGACUGCUCAGCCACCUCUGCCUAAAAUACCAACACACAGAACAGUAAAGUGAAUGGAUGUUUAUUAUUCUAAGCCACUAUAUUUUGAGAUUGUACCUCAUGCAGCACUAUUGUGACCAUAGGUGACUGAUAUAAAAAGUAAGGAAUUAUGAAUCAUAAGAAAAGAUGAACCAAGGCAAGAAUCAGCUUUGAAGAGGUGGUAAACUUUGGGAGUUGGGUAUGAUUUUCUGCAAUGAUCUUAUUUUCUUUUUUUUUAAAGGAAGGCCUACCUGAAUAAUUCUGUGCAGGAAGAUAAAAGCAAGAUUAGAGUGAGACCAAUUCAGGGAGGUGUCAUUUUGUGAGCAGCUCAUGACUAUACCCAAUAAUCAGGGUCUGUCUACAUAUCUGAAUUUUAAUCCUUACAUAUAUGGCGUUAGAUGAAUUAAAA